RNAcentral lists this ribosomal RNA (460 nucleotides) under uncultured bacterium. RNAcentral describes it as "partial 16S ribosomal RNA". It matches the Rfam family "Bacterial small subunit ribosomal RNA", at positions 338 to 795 of the family's 1533-position model. The record is from RNAcentral.
CCUACGGGUGGCAGCAGUGAGGAAUAUUGGUCAAUGGACGAGAGUCUGAACCAGCCAAGUAGCGUGAAGGAUGACUGCCCUAUGGGUUGUAAACUUCUUUUAUAUGGGAAUAAACCAGGGUAUGCAUACCCUCCUGUAUGUACCAUAUGAAUAAGGAUCGGCUAACUCCGUGCCAGCAGCCGCGGUAAUACGGAGGAUCCGAGCGUUAUCCGGAUUUAUUGGGGUUAAAGGGAGCGUAGGCGGGUGGUUAAGUCAGUUGUGAAAGUUUGCGGCUCAACCGUAAAAUUGCAGUUGAUACUGGCAGCCUUGAGUACAGUAGAGGUAGGCGGAAUUCGUGGUGUAGCGGUGAAAUGCUUAGAUAUCACGAAGAACUCCGAUUGCGAAGGCAGCUCACUGGACUGCAACUGACACUGAGGCUCGAAAGUGUGGGUAUCAAACAGGAUUAGAUACCCCUGUAGUC